CCUAACUUUUCUUCUAGAUCCACCCUUCUCUUUUAUUUUCCCAUCUUUCUCUCUGCUUUCCUUUUCCUUAAUCUUUGGUUUUUUAUUUUUAUUUCGUCGUUUAAUUUCAUCUGAUUUUGGAUUUUCUUACCGUUUUCAAACGUGAAAAGCAAAUGGCUGCAGGCAGGGUGGCUCAUGUCACACUACAAGGACCGAGUGUUGUCAAGGAGAUAUUGACAGGAAUGGGACUUGCUUUGUUUGCUGGUAGCUUUUGGAAAAUGCAUCAGUGGAAUGAGCAGAGGAAAGUGAGAGCUUUCUACGAUUUACUGGAGAAGGGUGAGAUCAGUGUCGUUGUUGAUGAAGAAUAGAUCUUACACUCUUAUCAUGAUAUUAUGGAACACAUUCACCAGCUUGUGUUUAUCAUUUUAAUUUUUUUGAAAACCUCUUUGUAUUGCUCUUGGAACAGAGAUGACAUGUUUACGUUUUGCAACAAAUUCUGCAAAUAAGAGAUGCGUGAGACAGAUUUUGGUGGAUUAAUAAACCUUAUUUCAUGAUUUGUUAUU
RNA transcript from Cucumis sativus (cucumber), 542 nucleotides. It is a transcript of the gene named cytochrome c oxidase subunit 5C, with no coding region annotated. The transcript is spliced from 2 exons. The record is from RefSeq and is a predicted model, not a curated record. NCBI's taxonomy places the organism in Eukaryota, Viridiplantae, Streptophyta, Magnoliopsida, Cucurbitales, Cucurbitaceae.